GUUAGGAAUAUUGGACAAUGGGCGCAAGCCUGAUCCAGCCAUGCCGCGUGAGUGAUGAAGGCCUUCGGGUUGUAAAGCUCUUUAGCCGAUGAUUAUAAUGACUGUAGUCGGAAAAUAAGCCCCGGCUAACUUCGUGCCAGCAGCCGCGGUAAUACGAAGGGGGCGAGCGUUAUUCGGAAUCACUGGGCGUAAAGCGUGCGUAGGCGGUUUUGUAAGUUAGGAGUGAAAGCCCAGGGCUCAACCUUGGAAUUGCUCUUAAAACUGCAAGGCUCGAAUCUCGGAGAAGAUAGCGGAAUUUCCAGUGUAGCAGUGAAAUGCGUAGAUAUUGGAAGGAACACCAGUGGCGUAAGCGGCUAUCUGGACGAGUAUUGACGCUGAGGCACGAAAGCGUGGGGAUCAAACAGGAUUAGAUACCCCGGUAGUCC
RNAcentral lists this ribosomal RNA (425 nucleotides) under uncultured bacterium. Its description in RNAcentral is "bacterial SSU rRNA". It matches the Rfam family "Bacterial small subunit ribosomal RNA", at positions 354 to 796 of the family's 1533-position model. The record is from RNAcentral.